RNAcentral lists this long non-coding RNA (325 nucleotides) under Salvia miltiorrhiza (redroot sage). Its description in RNAcentral is "long non-coding RNA (SMIL_LNC009404)". The record is from RNAcentral. Lineage: Eukaryota; Viridiplantae; Streptophyta; Magnoliopsida; Lamiales; Lamiaceae.
GCGCUGGAGGUUGCUCCGUGAGGAAUCACCGAGAACGGAAGUCGACGGUCGCCGUGAAGAAUCGUGGAGCAGAGAUGGCGAGAGUGGAAGGUGACGGACGACGAUUUUGAAGAAAAUGGGGAAGAAGUUGGAUGGUUUUGAAAUGAGGAAGAAAACUUUUAUUUUUUAUUUUGUUUUAUUACAAUUAUUUUAAGUCAAUUUUUCUUUAUUUUUAUUGACUAAUUAGUAAGGGUAACUUUGUCUUUUAAUAGCAUUUUGACCCCUAAAGUCAUACUUUAAAAGUGGUGGCUAUCAAAGUCUCAAACUAUAUGCUUUUGGUUAGUUU